Small RNA from Treponema denticola ATCC 35405, 102 nucleotides. It matches the Rfam family "TD-2 RNA". From Rfam's summary of the family: non coding RNA found in Treponema denticola The record is from Rfam. NCBI's taxonomy places the organism in Bacteria, Pseudomonadati, Spirochaetota, Spirochaetia, Treponematales, Treponemataceae.
AGUUUGUUCACAAACUGCAUACAAUAAUGCGAUGUUUUGUGCAAAGCACAAAACUCGAAGAUAAACAGUGAGGCUGAAUUUCUGCCGAACUGUUUAUCUUAC